RNAcentral lists this long non-coding RNA (775 nucleotides) under Rattus norvegicus (Norway rat). Its description in RNAcentral is "long non-coding RNA NONRATT014245". The record is from RNAcentral. Lineage: Eukaryota; Metazoa; Chordata; Mammalia; Rodentia; Muridae.
UGGCAUGCACGUCAUUCCAACGUUCCCGUUAGUGACUUACUAAGAAGUACCAAUUGCUAGAAGCAGUGAAAGAUUCCAAGUCUACCCAUUGCCGAGAGGUGGUAGGCAUCAAUGCAUGAAGGACAUUCUGUUACCAUCUAUAGUUUCUCUAAGAUAGCCAAGAAGACUUACAUGCACUGUACUAAUCUUUUCUUUUUAUUAUUUUUGAACAUGUGACUUCUUCAGGACCCUUCAAAAAACAAUUCAUGCCAAAGUUCCUGGGCAUAUUGGAUUGUCCCCAUCGUGGGUGCUAUUCUUAUAGGUUUCCUGUAUCGUCACUUCUGGGCUGACAGCAAAUCCUCCUGAGGAGGCCACGUUGAAGUGUCGGAGCACAUCUCCUGGGAGUGAGAGGUGGAGACUUGUGUGGAGGCUGCAGGGUGCUCCUUCCUUGGAUCCUGCCAGUUGUUUUCUUUCCCCUUGGAGCCAAGAUGGUUGACCAGAUAUCUAUCCUCCUUCAAUGCAGGACCAGAAUCUGUCCAUCAGCCUGAGCCUGACGCCCAAAGCACCUGCUCACGUUGUGUCCUUGUCAGGGUUUCUUCUCACUGGUUCCCACUCAUUCCCUUCAUUUCAACAGUUGAUGCCAAUGACUUAGAGUUCCUUUGUUGUAGUGACAUGGCCUUUGGGGACAGUACAUGAUUUCUGAUACUUUGAAUUCACAGUAGACAUAGUUAAGGGAACAGCGGUCUAGUUUUGAGUCUUUCCCCAUUUUUCUUUUAAGUAAAUUUUUUUAAUUCUG